UGAGUUGUUAUUAUCCUUCAAACAUCCAUAUAUAUGAGGUCCAACAACUCACUUAUCUUUUUUUAUAUUCAGUAAAUGAGAUCUUGAUCAUCUUACCCAUGAGACAAGAUUCAGAAGUUCUAUAUGAUUCAAAAUCACACAGAUUAAAAAACUCUUCUUUGUAUAACUUGUUAAUCUUUGACUCAUUUAUAUAACUAAACCGGCAGUACCAGAGAU
RNAcentral lists this long non-coding RNA (216 nucleotides) under Elaeis guineensis (African oil palm). RNAcentral describes it as "long non-coding RNA (EGUI_LNC032048)". Lineage: Eukaryota; Viridiplantae; Streptophyta; Magnoliopsida; Arecales; Arecaceae. The record is from RNAcentral.